AUUUAGAUAGUUUAAUUAAAACUUUGAUUUGUGGUGUCAAAAAUGAAUUUUUUCUCUAGAUU
Molecule: transfer RNA, 62 nt
Filed under: Chrysodinopsis sp. EMHAU-1507081
Lineage: Eukaryota; Metazoa; Arthropoda; Insecta; Coleoptera; Chrysomelidae
Description: tRNA-His
Source: RNAcentral